Myxocyprinus asiaticus (Chinese sucker) is the source of this 2096-nucleotide RNA transcript. It is a transcript of the gene named aflatoxin B1 aldehyde reductase member 2-like, with no coding region annotated. NCBI's taxonomy places the organism in Eukaryota, Metazoa, Chordata, Actinopteri, Cypriniformes, Catostomidae. The transcript is spliced from 2 exons. The record is from RefSeq and is a predicted model, not a curated record.
AACACAACUGUAGAGCUUUGACUGACAGACGUGCACUUUGAUACAUGCCUGACAAUCAGCUGUUAUCAGUAUUUUCUUCCUGUCUGACCUAGAUGAUUUUUAAAAGCCAUAAAGACAUCAGCAAGUACCACUGAACAGAUGAGAAUUAUUUGUCUAUGUUAUAUUUAUUACACAAGAAUUAUGCAACUUGUAUAAGUUCACGUUAAUAGAAACCUCCAACAUGUGUUGGGUCUUAAUUGAACUACAGCUAAAUUACAUCAUUAGUAAGAUUAUGUACAGAACAUUUAAUAGGUUUGUACGUUUUAAAAUAUGAUUUUUAUAAUGACUAUUACACAUAAUAUAUAGUAUAAUAUAUAUUUGUUUCGGAGUUAAUGUUUCGGGAAUCACACUAUACUGGACAGGCUGUUGCUCGGGGUAGAUUCAAAUGAGCCAGCUUUUAAGAGUCGUUCAUUCAGAGAUGGGACUACACUGGUAGCGCUGUAUGUUGCGCACUGUAGAUUCAAAAGGACCAACUCGUAAGAGUCAUCCGUUGGGGAAUCUGACUACACUGGUUAUGCUGUAUGUUGCGUGCUGUAGAUUCAAAAGAACCGACUCGUAAGAGUCAUCCGUUGGGGAAUCUGACUACACUGGUUAUGCUGUAUGUUGCACGCUGUAGAUUAAAAAGAACCAACUCGUAAGAGUCAUCCGUUGGGGAAUCUGACUACACUAGUAGUGCUGUAUGUUGCACAUAGUUUCAAAAGAACCGACACUGAAGAGUAAUUUGUUCGGGAAUCGGACUACACUGGUAGCACUGUUUGUUGCACGCAGUAGACUCAAAAGAACCGACUCAUAAGAGUCACUUGUUGGGGAAUCGGACUACACUGGUUAUGCUGUAUGUUGCACGCUGUAGAUUCAAAAGAACCAACUCGUAAGAGUCAUCUGUUGGGGGAAUCAGACAACACUAGUAGUGCUGUAUGUUGCACAUAGUUUCAAAAGAACCGACACUGAAGAGUAAUUUGUUCGGGAAUCGGACUACACUGGUUAUGCCGUAUGUUUUGUGCUGUAGAUUCAAAAGAACCGACUCAUAAGACUCAUUUGUUCAGAAAUCGAACCACUCCGGCUGCGCUGCAGUUGAAUUGUGCUGCUGUCAGAGUAUUUCAGAAACAUUGCAUGAACGGGAACCUCUAACAGAACCCAAAGUAAUGAAGACCAUAUGGUUACUGUGUUUAUAAAAAAAUGGAACCGGUUCUGAACAAGAUUCUCAACCCAAGUAUGAAGUAAAUAAUGCCAAUUUUGAUUUCAUGUCAACUUGAGUCACUUAAAUCAAUAGCAUAAUGUUGAUUAGUUGUACGUAUGUUUUCUUCUGAAGGGCAUGUACAAUGCAACCACAUGGCAAGUGGAGACUUGAGCUGUUGCCAUGUUUAAGAUACUAUGGCAUGCAUUUCUUUGCGUACAAUCCCCUGGCAGUGGGCUUCUCACUGGGAAGUAUCACUAUGAAGAUAAAGACGGAGAUCAGUCUGCGGGUCGAUUCUUUGGCAAUAACCGGGCUGGUGCUUACAGGGACAGGUGUGCAAAUAUCAAAGAUUCAGUUUGUUAAUAUUGAAACCAGUGGUUGAUUUGAUCAAAUCUAAUGUGUAAUGUUAUGUUUGUGAUAUUUUAUCUAACAUAAUGCUCUAAAGCUAAUAUUGAAGAGCUCUCUUAGAUUUAAUGGCCUCUGGUUUCAGAUAUUGGAAGGAAAGUCAUUUUCAGGCCAUAGAUGGUGUUGGGAAAGCUCUCGAAGCAGCAUAUGGCUCGGAGAAACCGGCGCUGACAUCAGCUGCUAUACGCUGGAUGUACCAUCACUCUCAACUCAAGGUGGGACAUAUCAGGAAAUGACAUAAAGCCACUUUGAUACAAUCACAGUGUUAAAUGACAAUGUUUGAAAGCCUUUGUAAUGAGCAAAUGUUUUAGUUGUUAGUCUUUCUUUCCCUUCGGUACAUUACUUAUUUUAGUUAAUACAUAUUGUUUUAGAAUUUAGGUUGAGCCGUUGUUCCACUAUAGAUAAUGUGAUUCACAAGACCAAGGCUGUGUUCGAAAUAGCAUACUACUUGUCCUAUUUACGCAGUAUAUAGUAUUGU